UCCUAUUGGUUGUGCCAUAUCUGGCUUCGAGUCGUGACCAUAUACUCUAGGCAGUUUCAGAGUAUUGAACACUUUCAGCAAUUUGAGGGGACAGAGAGGCAGUCAACUAGGAGAUGACCAUGUUAUUGCAUCUGUCACAUAGUCUCUGUGCAGUCAGAUUAGUGGUUGGUCUAUGACAAGAUCCAUCAACAAAAGCAAUUUUGUUCUUAGCAAAUAAGGUGACUAUCACCUUUCUCCUCCAAUCCCCAUAGCCAUUACCCGAGAAGGGGAUAGGAACAAGAGAAAUUCCGGGGACAUCAGAAGAGUAAACAAAUAGGAGAUUUGUAGGGUCAAUAGGUGGGGGAUUAACAGGGUUCACAUCCGCCAUCAAAUACAAGAUAAUAAGGAUGAAAAAGAGAGAGAUACAAUAACUAUGAGCAACACAAUACAGCAACAAAGUUACAUGCAAGCCCUAAUCUAGUGGGAUAAUAGGGUUACCAGGCUUCUACGCAACCGGAGAAUAUGAGAAAAAAAAUUGAUUCAAUAUCUGUGAACUACAAGAUACAAUAGAUUGUCCAGCAAAAACACAUGCAAGCUCUUAACGAGAGUGAGAAUAGGGUUACCCGACUUCUACGCUACCAGAGAAGAACGACCUUCAAAAGUUCAGAGAAAACCCUAGCUUUGUUCAGUGUAAAUCCAACGCCACUAAAACUAUCGGAAUCAAACACGAAAGGUGUCAGAAGUUCACCCUAAACACCACGCUUGAAGAAGAAACAACAAUCCACAAAAAAACUGAAAGCAUAUCCGAUUCCACCAACAAAUCGAAAAAAAAUCAGAAUCACCACCAACAAAUCGAAAAAUCCAAAAUCACCACCGAUAAUUUAAUAAAGAUGAACCGGAAGAACCGAGAAGAGAAAGGAUACAUCCGAGAAGGUGAACCAUGCUCUAAUACCAUGUAAACAUGGAGAAUCGGAGAUGAAGAAGAUAGAGAAUUCAUCUCUUU
This 982-nucleotide long non-coding RNA is filed under the name Nicotiana benthamiana. Its description in RNAcentral is "long non-coding RNA (NBEN_LNC041852)". Lineage: Eukaryota; Viridiplantae; Streptophyta; Magnoliopsida; Solanales; Solanaceae. The record is from RNAcentral.